Molecule: long non-coding RNA, 1297 nt
Organism: Eutrema salsugineum
Lineage: Eukaryota; Viridiplantae; Streptophyta; Magnoliopsida; Brassicales; Brassicaceae
Exons: 6
Source: RefSeq, a predicted model, not a curated record
UCUUCAGACUUCUUCUGACGAUAAAAAUUCCUCUUACUCUUAAAUACUUCAAUUCCCUUUCCUCUUCGUCUUCCAGAUUUGCUUCAUCUCCUUCACGUUUCCGUACUCUUCUUUCUCCCAAUAUGAAAACGAAAAAUCUUAUUUUGCAAAUCUAAAAGUGCAAUUGAGGCAGAGAGAUUGAACGAGCAUAAACGACGACUAAGGGAGGGGUCUAUCGGAAUCAUCACGAUGAAGAAGAAGAAGACGAGAAUCUUCGUACAGUCUGUCUGUUCUUACACUAAUCCUUUUGAUCUCUUCAGCGAAGGUGAUGAAGAUCUUCACUCCGAAAAGUUUUACAGCAUAUCCGACCCUGAGAUAGGAAUGUCCUGUUGAAGCGACGCUCUUACUUGAGACACAGGCGAUUAUGUUACAACUACAAAUGAAAAUAACCAAAGAGGCAUGAGACAAGGUGACCAAUGGGACAACAGCUUUGACCAAACUCCGGUUCGAGUAGGAGGAUGAAGGUGUACUUAUCACAGUAACUGAAGAAAUCUCCAUCUUGAAAGAAAUGCAGCAGAACAACAUUUUCAAGAUGUAGUGCCCAGCGAGAAGCGUUUAUAUUUGGUUUUCGAGUAUCUGGACUUGGAUCUCAAAAAGCACAUGGACUCCUGUCCUGAAUUCUCGAAGGAUCUACAUAUGAUCAAAACAUAUCUUUACCAGAAUCCCGUGGAAUUACGUAUUGCCACUGUCACAUGGUUCUUCAUCAUGAUCUAAAGUCACAAAUUUUGUUGACUGAUCGCCACACGAACUCACUAAUACUUGUAGAUUUUGGACUGCCCAGAGCAUUCGGUAUCCAUGUCAGGACAUUUACUUAUGAGGAGAUAGGAUUAGAUGAUGAGGCUAUAGUUGAGAAGUAGGAUGAAGACGCUGAUAAUGUAGAACCGGUUUCAAAGAAUAAGUCCAAGAAAAUGAAAAAGAAGAAAAGCAAAGAAAGUUAUUAUAAUGUGGCAAAAGCUCAAAUCACUUUGGAUGAAACUUUAGAAGCACUUUCUGUCGAUGCUAACUCUAAGCAAGAAAUGUUUGAGGAAACAAAAGCACAUUCUGAUUCUGCGAAAUAGAUCCCAAGUAUUGAAAUAUUCAAAACGAGUUGAGGAGAAUGUAUGGUUCAAAGGUCGUUACAUUUGUUAGGUACCUUCAUAAGGCACAUACAAGAAUAAACAUUUGUUCUCCUUUUUGGAUUUGUGAGGCGUUCCCAAGGAUGACAACUUUAAGAGUUUGUUUUAUAGUUAGCUCAUUGUUCAUCUUGGGCAUUUUAAAU